Molecule: long non-coding RNA, 713 nt
Organism: Manis pentadactyla (Chinese pangolin)
Lineage: Eukaryota; Metazoa; Chordata; Mammalia; Pholidota; Manidae
Exons: 3
Source: RefSeq, a predicted model, not a curated record
CAGUUGUGUUUGAGAUGCCUGUCAGACGAGGAGUGGGCAGUUGUAUCCAAGAAUCUGGAGUGGAGCGGAGAAGCCUCACCUGGAUUGGAUGGAAUCAGCCAGUUCUGCCAGGACAAAUGAGUGGUGCGCCCUCUUGAAUUUUCAAGUCAGACAUCAGCACAAAUAAUUAUGUGGAGGCAGAGCUUGGGCCACAAAGAUGUUCACACCAUUUCCUCUAGUAAAGGUGGGGAAAAAGAAAGUGGAACCCACCUGGGGCUUGCCAUCUAAGCAAUGGGAGUCAGCCCCUGGUGCUCCGAGAAUAUAUAUUCCCCACAGGACGUACAUGGCUCGAGGGGAACACUGGAGCGUGAACUCAGGGCCUGCACUGCGCUGGGUCCAGCAUCAAGACCAGCGUGGUCCCUGCCCCUGUGGGGUGUGCCUUGGCCCCGGCUGCCGUGACGAAAUACCAGACUGGCAGGCUCAGACCACAGACGUUUAUGUCACACAGUCCUGAAGGCUGGAAGUCCGAGAUGAAGAUGCCUCUGCUUUAGCUCUGGGGGCAACUGUGAAACUGAAGAGGGCCAUUGUGGCCAAGAUAUACCAAGCUGGAAUUGAAAGGACAAAUAGUAGCAGCCACCUGGAGAGGAGUCCCAUGGCCUCCCUUCUCCAUGGAAGUGACUGUGAUCCCUCCAUCCAUCUUCCAAAGGGAGGGAAACUGCCCCCCCCAAACAGAC